UGGGAGGGAGGUUGUGGGGGAAUUGAGGAGGGUGGUAUGGAGGACAGUGUGGCUGAUUAUGUGAAUGAUACAUGGUGUGGACUGCAUCAUGUGGUGCACUACCCUCAACAGUGUUUUGCUAGACCCUAGGGGGUGGUCGGUGCAGUGUAGAGCUGGGCUGAGUUGAGGUGGGCCAGGUCUGGUAGAGCUGUGCUGUGCUGGGUCUGGUUGAGCUGUGCUGAGGCGGGCCUGGUCUGGUACCAUGGGAGGGAGACUGUAAGGGGAAUUGAAGAGGGCAGUGUGGCCGGCGAUGCUCCAAACUCUGCAUGGGGCCUCUUUGACUGCGUACGGCUUGGGCAUAGCUCAGUGUAUCUGUAUGCAGUUCCUUGGUAGAGGCUGGUGUGGGGGGGUCAGUGUUGCUGGCUGUUCUCCAAUCUCUGUGAGGCGCCACCAGAUGCAGGCCUAAAGGAGCGUCUGAUUUGUCUCAGGUAGUUGGUGCCUGUUCUGUUGCUCAUGUGAGGUGGACUGGCCACCCAGAGCAACAUCAUUUAACAUCCUGGCAAAGGUGGGGACUGUCUCUUUGUGGAUUGUCAUAAAGACAGUCCAGGCUGAGGGUGGGAUGGUGGGUCAGGUGUAUGUUGGGCCUUAGCACACAGUCCCGAGAGAGACUGGCAUUUACCCUCUGGAUGGUGGCAGGGUGGAAAUCUCUCUGGAGCAGGGUAGAUAUUACUAUGUUUGCGAAGGGGAAGAUGGUGGAGGCCCUUUAUAUUAUCACUCCCCUUAGUGAUGUGGCCACUCGCUCCUAUUGGACACAAGUCAUUGGUCCCUGUGUGAAUGAUGAUAUGGCUGGUGGAGACAAGCUGGGCCACAGUCAACAUCUCCAAAGCUCCCUCUGUUGUGGGGCACCAUAACUUUGACACAUUUUUAUUUGGGAAAAGUUUAUUCUCUAAUAAAAACUUUCCAUUUGAGUCCAUCAUUAAUAUAAUGUCUGGUUUUUCGUCAGGUCUAUGAAGGAUGUCAGGAGUGAUUGGAGAAUUACAGGCUGUGAGUUGAGGAUGGAGUGGUCAGUUGGGUUGUGUAUGUGGCCAGUGUUGACUGUGCUCGACAGUUCCUCUCCAAGUCUACACACUUCUAUCCUGAAAGCCUGGGUUUCCUCCUCAACAUUAUUCAAUGCACACUGCGGCUCCCAAACCUCAUCCCUAUGCUGAAGCACCAGGCUGAUCUCCUCCUCUAGAAGAUGCUGUGGUACAGCAGGUGUCCCGUGUGAGAGAGGAAUGCUCAGGGCUGUGUCUGCUGCAGGCGAGGGAGGAAGAGCGACACUGGGGACUACAUUCUAGGGCACAGAGGGAGUGGAGGCUGCUGUAGAUGGAGAAUUCCCCCGUGGCACUGUGGUUGGAGUUGACCUUCUGCAUAUAGCACCUCUAGAUGGAGCUCACUUCCUGUCCAAUCAUGACAUCACCGACCCAGACACACAUGCCAAGCUGCUUGAACUUCUCCCUGG
Molecule: RNA transcript, 1480 nt
Organism: Oncorhynchus tshawytscha (Chinook salmon)
Lineage: Eukaryota; Metazoa; Chordata; Actinopteri; Salmoniformes; Salmonidae
Gene name: rRNA methyltransferase 2, mitochondrial-like
Exons: 3
Source: RefSeq, a predicted model, not a curated record